UUUCCGUAGGUGAACCUGCGGAAGGAUCAUUAUUGAGUUUUGAAGUGGGCUUGAUGCUGGCGCCUUCACGGUGCAUGUGCUCAGCCCCGCUCUCAAAUCCACUUAACACCUGUGCACUUUCAAAGCUGUAGUCCUCCGUAAAGGGAGCCGCAUGUCAGUAAUGGCGUGCUGGGAUUGCACUUUGCCCCUUCAAUCACAAACUAUAUGCAUUGUCUUGUAGAAUGUAAUAGCCUCUUGUAGGCGAAACUUAAUACAACUUUCAACAACGGAUCUCUUGGCUCUCGCAUCGAUGAAGAACGCAGC
Molecule: unclassified non-coding RNA, 303 nt
Filed under: uncultured fungus
Lineage: Eukaryota; Fungi
Description: sequence contains ITS1, 5.8S rRNA gene
Rfam family: 5.8S ribosomal RNA (bases 255-303)
Source: RNAcentral